Numida meleagris (helmeted guineafowl) is the source of this 2366-nucleotide long non-coding RNA. The record is from Ensembl. Lineage: Eukaryota; Metazoa; Chordata; Aves; Galliformes; Numididae.
AGGUUUUUGGUGUUCUAUCUCUCCUUCAGCUAUCAUUUUCCUGAAGACCAGACUCUACUGUGAGAAGCUGUUGCUCUCAUUUAUUCAUUCAUGAAAAACCCCAGGCUUCCCAAAAAUUACACAAGCAACCAAGCAAAAAAAAGAAAAAAAAGAAAAAAAGCGCUAGGUCAUAUUGCUGGAGGCUUCUACAGGCUUUUGAAACCUUGGUUUCCCACAGCAAGAAGUCUCAGAGGCCUUUUCUGGUGCAUUUCCAAAGCAGAUGCUUGGUGAACAAGAAAUUGCAGCGGGGGAUGUCUCUUUGCUUCUCUCAGCUACUGAAGAAGAAAGAGCAGACACAGUGGUUCAUAGCCCGGCUCUUUGUCAAGAGGUCCGUUCUGAAUGUCUUUAGGGUCUGCUUAGCUGCUUCUCGGGCAUCAUCUCCUGAUCAUCUCUCAUCAAAGGCACAAUGAAGAGACCUUUUAAAGAGGACAAUGGAGAGAGGAUAGUUUUUCCAGUGCUCAUUUGAUUGGACAUUUUUCAAAAACACUGUUGUGUAACAAGCAAAAAGUGGAGGGAAACACUGAAACUCCAGCUGCUAUGGAAUGCAAGGAAAAAAGCUCACCUGCAACACCUGGAUAAAAAAAAAAGAUAAACCUGAUUUACAGUAUCUGAUUUUAAAGCUGUAAAUCAGUUUUAACUAGGUGUUUCAGGUGAGCUUUUUCCUGUAUUUGGGAUGCCUAGACGGAGACAGCAGGAACCUCUGGGAGCAGCAGUUUUCAGCCUGUAUCACUCAGUGGUCCUAGCUAGAGGGACCAUUUUGUUUGUACUUUGCACUUAGAUGCUACAAUUUAGACUUACUGUGUUGGUUUCCUUUUUCAGAAUCAAUUUUUCUGUUUUCUUUUUGUCUUGUUGUUCAAAACUAUUUCCAAUGAGCAUUUAUACUCAGACCACAUUUUCUUGCCAGUUUUAUUUAUUUGAAUAUACCAAGCCUAAAGAUGGAGACUAAGCUUCCUGACAUUGCUCCCUUUAUUCUCAUGGUGUUGAAAACUAAUACUGAGAACCUGAAAGGAUGGAUCAGGGCUGCUACUGAGGGAGUGGAUUGCUGAUGUGACAGAAACAGCUGCAUAUGAAAAGAUGAUAUAUGGAAUAGAAAGUAAGUCAGAUGAAUUUGAAGGUAUUUGUAAUCUAUUCUUCAGCUGCAACAGAAGAGAUGUCCUGAAAUAUGAUAGAAGAUAGCGGAGAGAGGUUGAAGGGUGAAUGAAAGCUUUUGUUUCAAAAGGUAAUAAUAAUAAUGUAUCUCCUUGCUUUCCUGUUGCCUACUUUUCUUUUUCCUUUGUUUUUCUUCCUCCCUGGGAGAUAGGGAUGGGCUGCAAUUAUACCUGAAAAAGGAGUGAAAGUCAUAUAAAUUUUUAUGUACAUAUGUUCUAUUUGCAAAAAGACAGACUCAGAAUCUGAUGAAGAAGAGCAAUAAGAAGACAAAUGGGCAUGUGAAAAUCCAUCCCAGGCAGUAGAUGUAUGCAACUUUCUAGAAUCACGUGGUGAGGGGAGUGUGCAUUAAAUUUCUGUUUUUUGGUUGAUCAGAUACAGGUGUAGCAAUUACCACAAACCGAUGUCAUUAAUUGUAAUGUUCUGUAGGAGUAAUCAAUGAACUCUGUUUCCUGAAAACAGUUUCACCUUUCUGCUAUUAGUACUGUAAUGAAGAGGGUGCAGUAUAUACUUACAUAAAGAACUUAGAAUCUAUUAGCACCUGUGCUGAACAGUAAAGCUGCCGAUACUUUGCAUGCAAAUUGUAGUCAUCAUCUGAGAAGAAGCAGAGUUCAUAGGUUCAGUAUUCUCUCACUUUCAGUCUCCUAUGUCAGCUGUGUCUUAACCAGCUGGGGGCAGAAUUACAUUCUGGAAAUUAUUGAGAAAAAAAGGUUAAAAUUGAAAAUAUACUAUUUCUGUAUCUAGCCUUGUAUAAGACAGUACAAAAAAUCCCAGCAAGUAUAAAUGAUGUCUGAUUUCACAUUAUAAAGUGUCAGUGCUCGAGUAGGUUUGCAUUUGACAGGUGAUUUAAAUACUUCAAUACAUUUCUAUAACUGUAAGAAAAAAUCUUUAUCAGGAUUAAAAACUUGACGGAACUAUUCAUUUCUGUACUGUUGCAAGAAUCAUUACUACUCUUUUUGACAUGCAGAUGUAUGAGGCACUGUAUUCAUCUUCAUAAUUUAUCUAAAUAUUUCAUUGUUUGAGAAUAUUUUAAUGACUGCUCGUUUAUGUUGUUUUUACUAUAUUUAUCUUUUAUACUUGUUCCUGAAUGCUAUGCUCUGAGUUCAUACCUGAUUAUGACAGGUACUAUCUUAACAUUAUGCUGAAAUAAACGUAUCUCUUUUUCUCUUUUAUUGAGCUUA